RNAcentral lists this ribosomal RNA (705 nucleotides) under uncultured Cyanobacterium sp. RNAcentral's name for it is "bacterial SSU rRNA". It matches the Rfam family "Bacterial small subunit ribosomal RNA", at positions 8 to 753 of the family's 1533-position model. The record is from RNAcentral. Lineage: Bacteria; Bacillati; Cyanobacteriota; Cyanophyceae; Chroococcales; Geminocystaceae.
AGAGUUGUAUCCUGGCUCAGGAUGAACGCUGGCGGUAUGCCUAACACAUGCAAGUCGUACGAGAGUUUUUAACUCAAGUGGCGGACGGGUGAGUAACACGUGAGAAUUUGCCUUUAGGAGGGGGAUAACAGAGUGAAAACGCUGCUAAUACCCCAUAUGCUUUCGAGUGAAAUGGAUUUAUUCGCCUAAAGAGAAGCUCGCGGCUGAUUAGCUUGUUGGUAAGGUAAUGGCUUACCAAGGCGACGAUCAGUAUCUGGUUUGAGAGGACGAUCAGACACACUGGAACUGAGACACGGUCCAGACUCCUACGGGAGGCAGCAGUGGGGAAUUUUCCGCAAUGGGCGAAAGCCUGACGGAGCAAUACCGCGUGAGGGAAGACGGCCUAUGGGUUGUAAACCUCUUUUCUCAGGGAGGAACUCAAUGACGUUACCUGAGGAAUAAGCAUCGGCUAACUCCGUGCCAGCAGCCGCGGUAAGACGGAGGAUGCAAGUGUUAUCCGGAAUCACUGGGCGUAAAGCGUCUGUAGGUGGCUUAACAAGUCAACUGUUAAAUCUUGAAGCUCAACUUCGAAAUCGCAGUCGAAACUGUUAGGCUAGAGUAUAGUAGGGGUAAAGGGAAUUUCCAGUGGAGCGGUGAAAUGCGUAGAGAUUGGAAAGAACACCGAUGGCGAAGGCACUUUACUGGGCUAUUACUGACACUCAGAGA